UCCCGGGUAGCUCAGACAAUAAAGCAUCUGUCUGCAAAGCAGGAGACGCAGGUUCAAUCCCUGGGUCAGGAA
Molecule: transfer RNA, 72 nt
Filed under: Bos taurus (domestic cattle)
Lineage: Eukaryota; Metazoa; Chordata; Mammalia; Artiodactyla; Bovidae
Also listed under: 2 other names
Rfam family: tRNA
About the family: Transfer RNA (tRNA) molecules are approximately 80 nucleotides in length.
Source: Rfam by way of RNAcentral